Long non-coding RNA from Equus caballus (horse), 3750 nucleotides. Lineage: Eukaryota; Metazoa; Chordata; Mammalia; Perissodactyla; Equidae. The record is from Ensembl.
AAAGAAUCAACUCCACAUUCUAAAACAUUUUUUUUAAACAAAUGCAACUGUCUAUUAAGUAAUGGACUUUUUUUGCAUCCAAAUGAGUAUUAUUCUUUGCAAAGUAGUCACCUUGGGAGAUAUUUCUUCAUUUAAGUAGUAUAGUCAUUGCUCUAAACAUUGUAAUGUGUUGGAAUUGCCUCUGGAGCCAACAACAUAUCCUUUUGAAUAUUUUCAUUGACAACUACCCUUUAAUUUGAUUUGAUUUUUAGAAAUAGUCAAGAGUAAUUUAGAGCCAUGUUUACUGAAUAGAAACAAAUUUAUUGCCAUAGUAAAACCUGGCCUAUUCUGACUGGUAAGGAUUCUCUAAAUCCCUUACUUUCAUUUCUUCAUCUCCAAGUCUACAACCCAUUCCAAUUUGGUGCCCUUUGCCCUAUCCACUCCAUUCAAACUACCCUUUCUAAGGCUAUGGCCUGUUUUGGGUAUUCAAGAAGGGCAUUUUUUUAACAUUAUGGAAAUAGUGAAACCAUUUAUCUUGUGCGGCUUGUGCAGUCUCUAAAGGCAGUUUCAAAGCAGAGGAAACUUACAGUACUUUGAGAAUGGUAGAGUCAUCAGACAAAAGAUAUUACCUCCACUGUGACAAAGUGUACUUGGGCCUUUAAUUUUUGAUAUCUGUUAUGUAUCUUCAGUUCAGUACAGUAAAUAUUUAUUAAGCAUGUAUUAUUAUGCAAAACACUGUAAGAGGUGCUGACGCAAAAUGCAAAGAUGAGUCCAGCCCUGACUCAUGGACAAAUAGUGAAUGAGGGGAAUAUCUUUCAAUGACUCUACUGCAAGACAGAUGUAAGUGUUCCCUUGGAGUUACAAAGCACUACAUAAAUACAGGAGCGGGAGGGAUUCAUUUUACCUGGGGCAUGACAGUUAAAUUGAACCUAGAAGGACAUAGAUUGAAACCUUGACAGGCAGGGAUGGAAGAAAGGAUGUUCUAGGAAGAGGAAAUAACUUGUUCAGUUGUAGAGCAGAGUUUGUGUCUUUAAAAAAAUGAACAUUUUAAUUUCUAAUAAAAUAAAACAGUAAAAUCUGUACUAUUUUCGACUUUACCACCACUAUAAGAUUUGUCUAGAUUUAAUUCAGUUGAAUCUUACAAACACUGUUUGUUUGUCUUUGCGUGUGCCCUGUAUGUCUUUUCUUAGUGGUCAUGUCUGUGUCUUUCUCUCGCUCCAUGUCUCCUUCCUUUCCUCUUUAUCUUUUUCUCACCUUCUCUAUCUCUUGCAUUCCUUUCUCAUAGUCUUCUUUCCAUCUUGAUUGUUAUAAGGAAUUGAAAUAUACCUGUUAGACUUAGUAGUUUAUGUUUCCUGUUCUUAAUUUUAGAAAUAGGUGAGUUUAACUUUUUUUUAAUUAACAGACUUUAUUUUUUAGAGCAGUUUUAGGUUUAAAAAAGACUGAGCAGAAUAUACAGAGUUCCUAGAUACCCACUCACCCCUGCUACUCACAGUUUUCCCUAUUAUUAACUAGCCUCAUGCAUUGGCACGGUAUAUUUCUUACAAUUGAUGAACCAAUAUUGAUACGUUGUUAUUAACUAACGUACAUAAUUUACAUUAGGGUUCACUUUUUGUCAUACAGUUCUAUGGGUUUUGACAAAUGCAUAAUAUCAUGUGUCCAGCAUUACAGUACCAUACAGAAUAGUUUUACUGACUUAAAAAUUCUCUGAGCUCUAUCUAUUUAUUCCUCUCCUCUACACUCCUCCCUCUCCUGUCUUCGAACCCCUGGCAGUCUUUUUACUAUCUCUUUAGUUUUACCUUUUCCAGAAUGUCAUAUUGGUGGAGUCAUAUGAUAUGUAGCCUUUUCAGAUUGGUUUCUUCCAUUUAGCAAUAUGCAUUUAAGAUUCCUCCGUAUCUUUUUGUGGCUGAUAGCUCAUUUCUUUUUAGUGCUAAAUAAUAUUCCAUUCUGUGUGUGUACCACAGGUUGUUUACCCAUUCCCCUAUUAAAGGACAGUUACCUUGGUUGCUUCUAACCUUGGCAAUUAUAAAUAAAUCUACUAUAAACAUUCAUGUGCAGCUUUUUCUAUGGACAUAAACUCAACUAAUCUGGGUAAAUACCAAGGAGCAUGAUUACUGGAUCAUAUGGUAGCACUAUAUGUAGCUUUGUAACAAAUUGGCAAACUGUAUUGUAAAGUGGCCAUACUAUUUUAAAUUCCAGUAAUGAGUGAGAGUUCUUGUUGCUCCAUAUCCUCACUAGCAUUUGGUGUUGUCAGUUGUUUUGGAUUUUAGCCAUUCUGAUGGAUGUGUAGUGGUAUCUCAUUGUUAUUUUAAUUAGUAGUUCCCUGAUGGUAUAUGAUGUUGAACAUCUUUUCAUGUGCUCAUUUGCCAUCUGUGUAUUUUCUUUUUCUUUUUUUAUUUUUUUAGGAAGAUUAGCCCAGAGCUAACAUCUGCCACCAAUCCUCCUCUUUCUGCUGAGGAAGACUGGCCCUGAGCUCACAUCUGUGCCCAUCUUCCUCUACCUUCUUUGUGAGACGCCUGCCGCAGCAUGGCUUGACAAGCGGUGCAUAGGUCUGCACUGGGGAUCCAAGUUUGUGAAUCCUGGGCUGCCAAGCAGAACGUGCAAACUUAACCAGUGCACCAUCAGGCUGGCCCCCAUCUGUGUAUUUUCUUUGGAGUACAUGGUUGUAUAUUCUUCAUUGUGGGUCCUUCUAGUUGUGGCAUGUGGGACGCCACCUCAUCGUGGCUUGAUGAGCAGUGUCAUGUCCGCGCCCAGGAUUUGAACCAACGAAACACUAGGCCGCCUGCAGCGGAGCGCGUGAACUUCACCACUCGGCCACAGGGCCAGCCCCUGCCCAUUUUUUAAUUGGUUUGUUUGUUCUUUUGUUGUUGAGUUGUGUGUUCUUUAUAUAUUUUGCUUAUUAACCCCUUACCAGACAUAUGAUUUGCAAAUAUCUUUUCCCAAUUGUUAAGUUGUCUUUUUGCUAUGUUUAUGAUUUCCUUUACUGUGCAGAAGGUUUAGUUUUAUGUAGUCCCAUUUGUUUAUUUUUUCUUUUGUUUCCCUUACCUGGGAAGACAUGGUAUUCAAAAAUUAUUUCUAAGGCUAAUGUCAAAGAACAUAUUGCCUAUGUUUUCUUCUAGGAGUUUUAUGGGUUCAGGUCUUACUUUCAAGUCUUUUAUCCACUUUGAGUUAAUUUUUGUGUGUGGUGCAAGAUAAUGGUCUACUUUCAUUCUUUUGCCUGUGGCUGUCCAGUUUCCCCAACACCAUUUAUUGAAGAGACUUUCCUUUCCCCGUUGUUCAUUCUUGGCUUCUUUGUUGAAAACUAACGUCCAUAGAUGUGUGAGUUUAUUUCUGGACUCUCGGUUCUGUUCCAUUGACCUGUGUGUCUAUUUUUGUGCAGGUACCAUGCUGUUUUGAUUACUAUAGGUUUUUAGUAUAUUUUGAAAGCAGGGAUUGUGAUACGUCUGGCUUUGUUCUUUUUUCUCAAGAUUGCUUUGGCUAUUCGGAGUCUUUUGUUGUUCCAUAUAAAUUUUAGGGUUCUUUGUUCUAUUUCUGUGAAAAAUGUCACAGCAACUUUGAUAGGGAUUGCACUGAAUCUAUAAAUUGCUUUAGGAAGUAUGGACAUUGUGACUAUGUUAAUUCUUCCAAUCCAUGAGCAUCGAAUAUCUUUCCAUUUCUUUGUAUCUUCUUUGAUUUCUUUCAACAACGUUUUAGCUUUCAGUGUACAAGUGUUUCAUCUCUUUGGUUAACUUUAUUCCUAGGUAUUUUAUGCUUUUUGUUGUGAUUGUAAAUGGG